Molecule: non-coding RNA, 146 nt
Organism: Pan troglodytes (chimpanzee)
Lineage: Eukaryota; Metazoa; Chordata; Mammalia; Primates; Hominidae
Rfam family: Metazoan signal recognition particle RNA
About the family: The signal recognition particle (SRP) is a universally conserved ribonucleoprotein. It is involved in the co-translational targeting of proteins to membranes. The eukaryotic SRP consists of a 300-nucleotide 7S RNA and six proteins: SRPs 72, 68, 54, 19, 14, and 9.
Source: Rfam
GCUGGGUGUGGUGGCACGCGCUUGUAAUCCCAGCUACUUAGGAGGCUGAGACAGGAGAAUCGCUUGAACCCAGGAAGUGGAGGUUGCAGUGAGCUGAUGGUGCCACUGCACUCCAGCCUGGGUGAUAGAGCGAGACUCUGUCUCCA